This 447-nucleotide ribosomal RNA is filed under the name uncultured bacterium. RNAcentral describes it as "partial 16S ribosomal RNA". It matches the Rfam family "Bacterial small subunit ribosomal RNA", at positions 29 to 523 of the family's 1533-position model. The record is from RNAcentral.
AACGAACGCUGGCGGCAGGCUUAACACAUGCAAGUCGAACGCUCCGCAAGGAGAGUGGCAGACGGGUGAGUAACGCGUGGGAACGUACCUUUCAGUUCGGAAUAACUCAGGGAAACUUGUGCUAAUACCGGAUACGCUCGUAAGAGGAAAGAUUUAUCGCUGAAAGAUCGGCCCGCGUUGGAUUAGCUAGUUGGUGGGGUAAUGGCCUACCAAGGCGACGAUCCAUAGCUGGUCUGAGAGGAUGAUCAGCCACACUGGGACUGAGACACGGCCCAGACUCCUACGGGAGGCAGCAGUGGGGAAUAUUGGACAAUGGGCGAAAGCCUGAUCCAGCCAUGCCGCGUGAGUGAUGAAGGCCCUAGGGUUGUAAAGCUCUUUCACCGAUGAAGAUAAUGACGGUAGUCGGAGAAGAGGCCCCGGCUAACUUCGUGCCAGCCGCCGCCGUAA